GAUGAACGCUGGCGGUAUGCUUAACACAUGCAAGUCGAACGGACUCUUCGGAGUUAGUGGCGGACGGGUGAGUAACGCGUGAGAAUCUGGCUUUGGGUUCGGGACAACCACUGGAAACGGUGGCUAAUACCGGAUGUGCCGAGAGGUAAAAGAGAAAUUGCCUGAAGAUGAGCUCGCGUCUGAUUAGCUAGUUGGUGAGGUAAAGGCUCACCAAGGCAGCGAUCAGUAGCUGGUCUGAGAGGAUGACCAGCCACACUGGGACUGAGACACGGCCCAGACUCCUACGGGAGGCAGCAGUGGGGAAUUUUCCGCAAUGGGCGAAAGCCUGACGGAGCAAUACCGCGUGAGGGAAGAAGGCUCUUGGGUUGUAAACCUCUUUUCUUAGGGGAGAACAAAAUGACGGUACCUAAGGAAUCAGCAUCGGCUAACUCCGUG
RNAcentral lists this ribosomal RNA (435 nucleotides) under uncultured bacterium. RNAcentral describes it as "partial 16S ribosomal RNA". It matches the Rfam family "Bacterial small subunit ribosomal RNA", at positions 28 to 507 of the family's 1533-position model. The record is from RNAcentral.